Nematostella vectensis (starlet sea anemone) is the source of this 9002-nucleotide RNA transcript. RefSeq lists it as uncharacterized. Lineage: Eukaryota; Metazoa; Cnidaria; Anthozoa; Actiniaria; Edwardsiidae. The record is from RefSeq and is a predicted model, not a curated record. The transcript has 3 exons.
UGAUUUAAUACUUCUUUUACAAUGUAUUCUAUCCCUUUUGUGUUUAGUACUAGGCACAACCUUUUAUGCAUUUGUCAUGUUGGUAUUUCUAAAGAAUAUUUCAGAUUUUGGGGUGCUUUAUGUGGUUUGUUUGCCAACAAAAGCUCGAUUGCAUCGCUUGCCUUAUUACACAAGACCAGUCCUUAUGGCCAUAUGGUGUCCUUCAAUUCCCUUCGGGGAACCAAUAAACCCAGAAAUGGGGCUCAAAAUCUCCUUCGGGAGAGCAUAGAAUUCCUUCGGGAAGCAAACAAACCCAGAAAUGGGGCUCAAAAUGUGCUUCGGCACACUGAAUAUUCCCUUCGGGGAACUAGUAAUCACAGCAAUGUGAUCUUAACUGUGCUUCGGCACACUGAAAAUUUCCUUCGGGAAACUAAUAAUCACAGCAAUGUGACUGAAAGGCACUAUAAUGGCAAAUAUUGUGGAAACCAAUUUGUGAACAAAAGUAUUUUCGGGAUACCUGUGUACAUGUUGCUGUAUUUGUCGGAUAAAACAGGGCAAACAAAUCACAUUUUUAGCACUGUAUAUAAUGAUCGAAGUAAUCUUGUUGACGAAUUCACCUCAAAAACUAGUAAUAACAGUAUAACAAAUGCAUUUGAGAAAACUAUGCCUAGUAUUGAAAACAAACAUGAUAAUAAUAAACAUGCAUCUUGUCCAUCUAUCAAGAUCUCCAAGUGUAUAGAAAAUCAUAGACAUUCUUGAAUAUGUUCAAAGCAACUAAAUCACAAAUGUAGAGAUAGAGAACCAUCUAGAAUAUCCCUAAAAAAAGUUAUGAGAUUGCUCAGAUAUAGAAAGUUAAGAAAAAGACACAAAAAGAUGAUUAUUAAGGGCACACCUGUUUCAUCUGUUUUUUACAGAAUUGCUACAAACUAUAACUAUUGGAAAUUGAAAUACAUUAACAGACUUAAUAGUUUCUAUAGCUCCUUUUUUAGAGCAACUUGUAAAACAUCAGUGAGGUAUAAUGGAUGUAAACAAACUCUUUUAUUGUCUGGGGACAUUGCAGAAUCGAAUCCUGGUCCUGUAACUGAUAAUAAUAAUAUUGAAGAUAUAUGUUUAUAUAGUAAUGGUGACUUUACGUUAAGAUACCGAAUGCUUCGACAUGGUUUAACACCACUAGAUGUUGGUGGAGGAGGUGAUUGCUUUUUCAAAUCAGUAUCACAUCAGCUAUAUGGUAAUUCAAAUAAACAUGCAGAAAUUAGAGCUUUAGGAGUGAGAUAUUUAAAGGACAAUCCUGAACGAUUUAUUGAAAGUAUCAUAGAUUCAUCUUGGUCACAGUAUUUAACUAAUAUGUCUCUACAAGGAACAUGGGCCAAUCAUAUUAUAAUACAGGCUGUUGCUGAUGCAAUGAGUUUAAAGAUUCAUAUUAUAGAAUCAGAUUCAAAUAUUAGGGAAGUCACAUUAGUUGAGCCAGCAAAUACAAUAAUAAAUAAUAUUAGAACAAUAUACAUAGGACAUAUUGGUCAAGUGCACUACGUAUCAACAUGUUCUGUUUCACAUCAACAAAGUUCGAACAAUAUUGACAGGGAAAAUACAAUUUCGAGUCGUCCAGAAAAAAGAAAGCAAGCAAGUACAAGCAAAAGUUCUAAUUCAAAUGAAACAAAAAAGCAAGACAGGGCUACCUACAUUAGGCAAUACAUGAAGGAAUACAGGCAAUCCAAGCAAAAUAAUACUUCACCAGAAAAAAAAUCAAAGAGAAAUGAAUACCAAAGAAAUUAUAGAGAAAUGAAUGCAUCACCAGAAAAGAAAUUAAAGUGUAAUGAAUACCUAAGAAAAUAUAGAGAAAUUAAUUCAUCACCAGAAAAGAAAUUAAAGUGUAAUGAAUACCUAAGAAAAUAUAGAGAAAUGAAUGCAUCACCAGAAAAAAAAUCAAAGAGAAAUGAAUACCAAAGAAAAAAUAGAGAAAUAAAUGCAUCACCGGAAGAGAAAUCAAAGCGUAAUGAAUACCAAAGAAAAUAUAGAGCUAACUCAUCCAUUGAAUUUGCAAUAAAGCGGUUCCAUGAAAUAGUAAACCAAGGCCCUCUGUAUAUUUGUAUAUGUUGUGAUCAACUAUGGUAUAAACAUAGUGUGAGUAGUACUACUAAGCUGAGACAAUCAAAUCCUGAUGUUGUGAAAUAUCUAUCAAAUAAGAUAAGUGUUGGUAACAAAGAAUGGGUUUGUAGAACAUGCUCUAAUUAUUUGCAAAAAAAUAAAGUCCCACCAUGUGCUGUAGCGAAUGGUAUGGCAUUUCCAGAUAAACCAGAUUUCUUUGAUCUCAAUGAACUAGAAUGUAGAUUAUUAGCUCCAAGAAUUGCAUUUCAAAAAUUAAUGCAGGCACCUAGGGGGAGACAGCUUAAGAUACAUGGAAAUAUUGUUAAUGUACCUGCUGAUGUAACUAAUACAGUUAAUAUAUUACCACGAUUGCAAAAUCAAACUGCUACAAUUAAAGUUAAUUUAAAGCGGAUGCUGAAAUAUAAGAGUUCUGCACUGUCACUAAAUGUAAGACCAUAUAAAGUACUUCAAGCAGCAAAUUGGCUUAUAACACAUAGUAGUUUAUAUAGAGAUGAAGGUAUAGUACUGAAUAAUGACUGGAUCAAUCAAUACAACAGAGCUGAUAAUGAUGAAAUUAAUGAGAAGGUACAGUCAGAUACAAUAGAUGAAACUGAUGACAAUGAUAUUGAUUCUGAAGGGCUAGACCAAAAUGAAUCACAUGAAGAUGAAGCAGAAACAAUUGCUGGUGUUACUGAUACUAUGUUUACAGCAACUGACUUUUUAGAAGAUAAUGAAAGGCAAAACAUAUUAAAUAUUGCUCCAGGUGAAGGGAAUAGACCAUUAAGUGUUUUUAGAGACAAAUAUUGUGAAGAGUUAGCAUACCCUGGAAUAUUUCUUGGACAACCACGAAUUGACAAUAAACAAAGAUUAGUCGAUAUUAACUAUAGUGAUAUAUGUAAAUCAGAGUUGAGACGGUCUGACAGACGAGCUGCAGUGUGCAUUGAAAAUAUAUUUUACAAAACAAAAAAGUUGCAAAUGAAAAUUCUCUUAGGAAAAUCACAUAUAGCUCUGAGAAAAUGUAAGGGAAACAACAAAAAUAUUACUGCUGGACAACUUAAACAGCAAGGAUCAAUAGACAGAUUGAUUCGUCAUGAUGAUGGAUACAAGUUUUUAAAUGCAUUGAGAGGUUCACCUCCAUACUUUGAAAAAGCUAAAAAAGAUCUGUUUGCAAUGAUUAGGCAGUUAGGUCCUGCUACACUAUUUUGUAGUUUCUCAUCAGCUGAAACACAAUGGAUGCACCUACUUAGAAUACUUGGUCAGCUUGUAGACAAUAAGGAAUACACUGAUGAACAAAUAGACAAUUUUAAUUGGGAUGACAGGUGUCGCUUAAUUCAGAGUGACCCUGUGACAUGUGCAAGACACUUUGAUUAUCAAGUUAAUCAAUUUUUAACAAACUUCUUGUUCAGUUCUGCUCAACCUUUAGGUAAAAUAUCUGACUGGUUUUACCGUGUAGAAUAUCAGCAAAGAGGGUCUCCUCAUAUACAUAUGCUGAUGUGGCUUGAAGAUGCACCACAAUUUCAAAUAGAUAGUGAUGAAGAUGUCACAUCAUUUAUUGAUAAGAUAAUAACUUGCCAAAAGCCAGUAGACAAUGCUGAUUUACUAGUCUUGGUUAAUAGACAGGUACAUAGACAUUCGCAUACAUGCCGUAAAAAUACAAGUAGCAAAUGUAGAUUUAACUAUCCACAGCCACCAAUGAAGCAAACUAUGAUAAUAUAUCCUCUAGAUGAGGAUACACCCGAAAAGGAAAUAAAAAUAUAUAGAGAUAAUUGGAAGGCAAUUCAAGUGUAUCUAGAUGAAAGCAAAGAAGGUGAAGAUAUUACAUUUGACCAGUUACUCGUGAACCUUAAUAUCACUAAACAAAACUAUUUACUUGCUGUAAGUUCAUCGAUUAACACACCUACUGUGUUUCUGAAAAGAAAUCCCAAUGAAUUACGCAUAAAUAAUUACAACCCUGAUUGUCUCUCUGCAUGGAGAGCUAACAUGGAUAUACAGUUUGUCUUAGAUGUCUAUGCAUGUGCUGUGUACAUAGUGAAUUAUAUAUCAAAAGGCCAGAAAGGCAUGAGUGAACUUUUAAGAGAGGCAUGUACUGAAGCUAGGCAAGGUAAUAAAACAAUAAAACAACAAGUAAGGGAUAUUGGAAGUAAGUUCCUCAAUAAUGUUGAGAUAAGUGCACAAGAAGCAGUGUACAUUGUGUUACAGCUUCCAAUGAGAAAAUCAUCUAUAGACAGAUAAUAUUUAUAAAUACAUCACCACCUAAUGAAAGAGUUGACCUAUUAAAACCAAUGGAUAAUAUUAAUGAAAUGGAUGAUGACUCUGAAGAAAUCUAUACCAGUGGUUUACUCAAAAAGAUAUUCAAAGCGCCCUCUAAAACUAGAAAAUAUCACACUUGCAGACUGGGCAGCAUGGUAUGAUUGUGCUGGAAAGCCUUAUGUAAAACAAACUAAUCAAGUUGAUGUUGAUGGUCUUCCGUUAGAGAAUUUUGUUGAUGAUAAUCUAAAUGAUGAUGAUGAUACAGAAGCUCAGAAAACACCACGUAGCAAAACUAAAAAACGAGCAAAGGCUAGGAUAAUUAGAAGUGUGUGGUUUAAUAAGGAAGCUGAGCCGGAAAAACAUUAUCGUGAACUUCUAAUGCUAUUUACUCCAUGGCGAAAUGAAGAAACUGAUAUUCUUGGUACAUUUUCAUCUUAUGAAGAACGCUAUAUGUUACUUGCCAAUGUCAUCAAUGAACAAAUGAAACAAUAUGCAGUUUGCAAUGAGGACUUUAAUGAAAUACAACAAGACAUGAAUAGAUUAGAGGAUAGAUUUGAUGAGAUAGCACCUUGUACUCAAAAUCUUGAACAACAAGACCGAGCUGAAGGUGAUCAAGACUUACAUCCUGACUUCACUGGAAACUAUAAUCUAUCAGAUGAUUUAGGAAUACCAUCAGUUGAUAAUACUGAAACACUUAUUAUGAAUGAACUGCCAGAUGAUGAAUAUAGAUGUAUGGUACAGACGUUGAAUAAAGAGCAAAAAGAAUUUUUCUAUCAUGUACUACAUUUAAAAAAAACUUCUGGUGAGGCAUUUUACUGCUUUCUAAGUGGUGGUGCAGGUGUGGGUAAAUCACAUGUCACUAAAGCCUUAUACCAAGCUGCUUUGAAAUAUUAUAACACCAGACCUGGCGUUAAUUUUGCUGAAACAAAAAUACUUAUGUUAGCACCCACAGGGAAAGCAGCAUAUAAUAUAAAGGGCAAUACCAUCCAAAGUGCUUUAGCAGUACCAGCCUGUCAGUCAUUAAAGAACUAUAAGAAACUUGAUUCAAGUAGGCUUAAUACAUUAAGAUGUCAAAUAGGUGGACUUAAGUUGAUAUUUGUAGAUGAAAUAUCUAUGGUUGGUAAUACUAUGUUUAAUGUCCAAUUCAAUAAUAGACUUAAAGACAUCAAAGGCAGCUCGCUACCAUUUGGCGGUGUUAGUAUUGUUGCUAUAGGAGAUUUGUUUCAAUUACAACCUGUAAUGGAUGGUUAUAUAUUUAAAGACAUGGAUAAUGAUGAAUAUGGUGUUCUUGCACCUAAUGUAUGGCAAGAACUUUUCAAAAUGUUUGAACUUAAAGAAAUCAUGCGACAGAGGGAAAGCAAAGACUUUGCUGAAUUAUUGAAUAGAUUAAGAGAGGGAAAUCAUACUAAAGAGGAUAUAAUCAAAUUAAAGGAAAGAAUUCUUAACCACACUAGUGCUCAGUAUCCCAAAGAUGCACCUCAUUUAUUUAUUCAAAAUGCUAAAGUCAAUGACUUCAACUAUAAAGCUCAUAAUGCUCUUCAGGGUCCAAAAUACUCUAUUAAAGCACAUGACACUGUCAUUGGAACAGAUUCGGAAGAACUUAGAGACAAAAUAUUAAAGCAAAUACCUAAAGAUCCUAGAAAAACAAAACAACUGCAUUCUGUUUUGCAUUUGGCAAUUGGUGAAAGAACAGAGAUAUCACUAAACACUAGAAAUGAUGAUGGUAUGACCAAUGGUGCUGGUAGUGUCAUAAAAUUUAUGCAAAUACAUAAAACAGACAAACCAUCAGGUAUUAUAUGGGUACAGUUUGAUCAUGCUGAUGUUGGUCAAAAAACCAGGCAUGAUAAUAGACAGCUAUAUGUCAAUGAUAUUGAACCAACAUGGACACCAAUCAAACCUAUUAGCACUCAAUUUGCUGUAGGUAGAACAAGAUCUGUACACGUGAUGAGAAAACAAUUUCAACUUAGACCUGCUGCUGCUAAAACAAUACAUAGAUCACAGGGUGAUACUGAAAGUAGAAUUGUAGUAAAUUUUGAAACCAAAAGAGCCAUUCCUCAUAUACAUUAUGUAGGAUUAAGUAGAGUAACAACUAUAGAUGGUCUAUAUAUAACUGACUUAUGUGAAAGCAAAAUAGCUGUUAAUACUGACGUCCAAACUGAAAUGCAUCGAUUGAGAACUGAAGGAAAACUGUCACUUUCUGUUAGUCCCAUAUAUGAAGCACCUCAAGCUAGUAUUAAAAUCUGUUUUCUCAAUGCAAGAUCAUUGCACAAGCAUAUAGAUGACAUACGUCAUGACUUAAAUUACUCAAGCACUUAUGUAAAUAUUUUUUCAGAAACAAGAUUUUUUCAGCAUGAAAAUGAUGAUUCAUAUCUAUUAGAUGAUAAAAACUAUACAUUGUUCAGAAAUGAUGGUACACCAAGACAAAAUGUAAGGCCAUAUGGAGGUACAGCAGUGUAUAGCCGUCUUGACUAUUACCCAGGAUAUCCAUUUUGUAGUAAUAUACAUGGUGUAGAAAUAACUAUUUUGAGGUUUAUGAUCAUACUUCAUAUUACAAUAGUGGGAGUAUACAGCUCACCAACAGUAUCAAUAACAGAAUUAUGUAAUGCUAUGAAAGAGACACUAGACUCUCUACCAACACAAAUUAACAUUUUUAUUGGUGAUUUCAAUGUGAACUGGUUCAGUGAAUCACGCCGUGCAUCACUUUAUAACUUUUUUAUAACACAAAAUUGUUAUAGACAGCUAGUUUCAUGUAGUACAACAGACAGUAAAACCUGUAUUGACCACAUCUACACUAAUUUACCUGAAGUGCAAACAAGCUUUCAGAUUUUGGAGACAUAUUUUUCUGAUCAUAAAGCCAUUUGUGUAUUGAUAAACAGCUUCAUUAACUAAAGGCAAAAAUUGAUAAUGGAGUCUAUAAAUACAGUGCAAACAAUUUACAUUACACACUAGUUUAUUUAACAUUAGCACAUACUGAUUAUGUUCUUAUAAGACUACCGGUAUUCUGAAUAAUUAGGUACUUAUUAUAAAUAUUAUGUAUUAGAAACACAGUUAAAUACACUCAAUAGUGCAAUUGUUUAGAUACACUUUAUUUCAUUACAGAAUACCAACAUGAGCACUCCUACAACAAACCCACAACAACAACUCAACAAAGCUGACGACUCACCAGAUGUUCAACUAGAGGGUUUUGUUCAUAGCCUAAGUCCUGUUAAGCAUGCGAAAAAAAACAGAAAACCAUACUUUGACUGUCUUGUCCAAACUGGAGAAGCUGAAAAGGUCCGUGGCGUGUGCUAUGACCCACAGCUAAGAAAAAAUCUCCUUGAACCAUACCAAAAUAAAUCACCAAUAAAAAUCACAGCCACCAAAAGAAUGGCUAGCACCAGUACCUCUGAAGAGUUCAGAAUGACGAAAAAAUCAAAGAUAACAUCAGCAGCGCCAGAAUUCUCAUAUAACUCCCAAGUUGUCUCAUCUAUUGUGACGGUGCAAGAAGCGUUAUCAGCGCCAGAAUACAAGGCAGUUGACAUUGUUGCUAAGGUGGUAACAAAGAAUCACGAAAAUCAAUUGAUCAUUAAACAAGGUCAACAGCUAAAGAAAUCAGACUGUAUCAUUGGUGAUGAGCAUAGCACAAUAAAACUCACUCUCUGGGAAGACCUCAUUGACAGAGUAGAAUGUGGAAAAACGUACACAUUUAAGAAUGUUAGAAUCAGAGUAUUUGAUGACGUUAAAUAUCUAUCUACAAAUACUUCAACAUCAAUUGAACCAGCUGAUAGACAAAUCCAUGACAUAAACUUAACAUCUGAGCAAUUUGCUGAAAAUAUUAUCGAGGGACGGUUUAUCGGUGCCAAUGUGAAAGCAGCAAACUCUUGUGUUGUAUGCAACACCACGCUAAAUCAAGAUGAUAGUGAAGAUGACAUGAUAACAUGUCCCCUGCCAACUUGCCAAACAACUAUGCUCUUUUCAGAAUGCCAAACAAAACUGGUUUGCAACUUAACUGUCAAGAAAACUGAUGGCAAAAUGCAGAUGUACACAUGCUUUAAUGAUGGCCUGCAAAGUUUUCUCAUCUCCAUCAACAAAGGCGACACUAGAAUAGAUGACUUAUCACCUAAAGAACUGAACAAGCUUUUCUUAACUGCUGGAACUAAGCAACUUAUUGUGGAUAAUUCAACCUGUCAUUCAUCAGGUUCUCUUUUAGACCUCAAAACACGUCGAAGGUAUAAACACUACAGAAAAACAUUUAUUUGCAUAUUUUGAGUUUUUGUUGAACUACAGGCAUAAUGUCUGAUAUUCUCUGCUUUUCAUUCAAAAAAGUUAAAUUUAGAGUUCGUUUAGUUGUAAAACUGGAACCAGCAUUAUUGUUCUUGUUCAUAUUGUAUCUAGAUGACUGUGUACAAUGGUCUUGCUGAUAUUCAACUCAUAUUGAUCAUAUUGUAUAAGCCAAAAUCUAGUUAUUGGUCAACCAAGACCAUCCAUGAUAUAUUGUUUCUAAUCAACAAACAUUUCACAAUUAUAUUACAAAAUAGAGUAAAAGUACAGACAAAUAUUAUUUUAAAGGGAUUUUAUUGAAUAUAUUUUUAUAUAAGAUGUUACUGUUCAUAUUAUAACUAUAUCAAUAUUUUUGAAAAGCCACAAAAAUUGUAUUCACGUUAUAUAUUUAUAUUGAAGUGGAAAUAAAAUGUUUAUAUUUUGCAAAA